ACGGUAAGCCGUCUUAUCGCUGCCCCUUUGGGGGGAGAGGAAAGUCCGGGCAACGCAGAGCAUCCUACUUCCUAACAGGAAGGGUCUGUUUUGGAGACGAAACAGAUACAGCCAGUGCCACAGAAAAGUACCGCCAGCCUUGUGCUGGUAAGGGUGAAAAGGUGCGGUAAGAGCGCACCAGCGGCUGGGUGACCAGUCCGGCUGGGUAAACCUUAGGAGUUGAAAGACCAAAUAGGCUGACAGUGCCUCGCUUCGGUGAGGCUAAGGGCUGCUCGUCCGAUGUCAGUGGGUAGGUCGAUGGAGCCUGUGCGUGAGUGCAGGCCUAGAUAAAUGAUAAGACGCACGCCUUCGGGCGUGGCGACAGAACCCGGCUUACAGGCUUGCCGUUGAU
Non-coding RNA from Pontibacter korlensis, 391 nucleotides. The record is from Rfam. NCBI's taxonomy places the organism in Bacteria, Pseudomonadati, Bacteroidota, Cytophagia, Cytophagales, Hymenobacteraceae.